RNAcentral lists this ribosomal RNA (420 nucleotides) under uncultured bacterium. RNAcentral's name for it is "partial 16S ribosomal RNA". It matches the Rfam family "Bacterial small subunit ribosomal RNA", at positions 360 to 772 of the family's 1533-position model. The record is from RNAcentral.
AAUAUUGGACAAUGGGGGCAACCCUGAUCCAGCCAUGCCGCGGGUGUGAAGAAGGUCUUCGGAUUGUAAAGCACUCUAAGUUGAGGGGAAGGGCUGUAGGUUAAUACCCUCAAGUUUUGACGUUACCAAAAGAAUAAGCACCGGCUAACUCUGUGCCAGCAGCCGCGGUAAUACAGAGGGUGAAAGGGUUAAUCGGUAUUACUGGUCGUAAAGCGCGCGUAGGUGGUUCAGUAAGAUGGGUGUGAAAUCCCCGGGCUUAACCUGGGAACUGCUUUCAUAACUGCUGAGCUAGAGUACGGUAGAGGGUAGUGGAAUUUCCUGUGUAGCGGUGAAAUGCGUAGAUAUAGGAAGGAACACCAGUGGCGAAGGCGACUACCUGGACUGAUACUGACACUGAGGUGCGAAAGCGUGGGGAGCAAA